Girardinichthys multiradiatus is the source of this 1383-nucleotide long non-coding RNA. RefSeq lists it as uncharacterized. The transcript is spliced from 2 exons. The record is from RefSeq and is a predicted model, not a curated record. NCBI's taxonomy places the organism in Eukaryota, Metazoa, Chordata, Actinopteri, Cyprinodontiformes, Goodeidae.
AUCUAAUGCCUCUUUUACUCUUCAUACCAAUAGCUUUCAUUUGAUCUUUUGUGAAAAUGCCGCCAAAGUUCUUUUCCAUUGUUAAAUUUUUCUUUUGUAGGACUGCAUUAAUUUUCUUCUGUCUGUGAAGUUCUCCUUCUAUUGUUCUUAUGUGAAUUUUUUGGUUUUCUAAUUCCUCCCUCAGCUUUUUCACCUCGGUUUCCUGAUUGUAUUCCCUGUUGAUGCAUAUGUCUUGCCCUGUUGACCCUGGCUCAUCAGUUCCUGGCAUGUCCCUGUCCUCUGAGGCUACAAUUUCAUCUUCUUUUUCCCCUUCACUUUCCCUCAUCUCACUUGCCUCAUUUCUGUUUCUUCCUUCCUUCAUCUCUGAAAUUAUAAUGGCACUGUUGGCAUGAAGAUUAGGUAAAAAAUUUGAAACGUAUUAUUUAACACGGUUCGUACCAAAGUUUACUUUAGAACUAUAUGUGUGAUCACUAAUCAGUGGAUCAACAUGCAGUGGAAGUUCUGCUGGACUUCCUCCUCUUUGGUUCUGGGCGAUGAAGAAAAAGGGUUGGAACGGCAUCAACCCUCAGUCUCACUUGGCCUGACUGUGUCCUCACAAACUGUCCUUUUUCAAAGUGUGCCUGUAAAGUGAUUUAUUUAUUUAUUUCCUUGCACAUUUCAUUAGGCCCUUGUGCAUUUUCCAGUGCAGUGUGCAGAUUGAACUUACAGCACAUAGUUUCCAGUUGUUGUGACCUCUGGUGAUGGUGAGGUUGCUUCUACUGACUUGAACCAACCAUUUUUUCCUUCUUUCAGGAUCUUUUGGGAAGCCAUACAUACGGAUUCCUUUCUCUGACCGAUUGGUGCAUCCAAAUGCAGCACACCCAACCAUGCAGAUGUGGUGACUGACUUCAAAAGGAGCUGCUGCCAAUGAUGCCAAGGAGGAUGAACCCUCAUUCGGACUUGGGCACAUUUCUACCUUGUCCAGAUUUGAUCAGAUACAGUUUAUUGGUGCAGAUGUAAUUAAUAAACUGUAUAAAUGGUAGUGCAAGUACUUAUUUAUUAAAGCUAGUUUUGCAUUUUACAUAUCGUACAAUAAAUUGUUUGGUCAUUUAUUUUUGCACAAUUCAGUUGUUUUGUCAUCUAAUACGAUUUUAACUACAUUUUCAAUUAAAUGAACAUUUUAGUUAAUGAAUUACAAUUUUACAACAUUUGUCAGACUACAGGCACAAUCAACUCUGUUAUAGAUACAAGUACUCAGUUCACAUGACAGCAAAAAAUAGUAUAAUUAUGUCUUCUACAAAAAUUAAGAAUUCAUCCCAAGUCUUCAGUCAUAUUUUCAUACAGCUACAUAUUUUCCUAAUUCAUUUAAAAAUUAUUAAAUUUUUUAAUAAAAUUUUAAUUCCG